This 468-nucleotide ribosomal RNA is filed under the name uncultured bacterium. Its description in RNAcentral is "bacterial SSU rRNA". It matches the Rfam family "Bacterial small subunit ribosomal RNA", at positions 27 to 507 of the family's 1533-position model. The record is from RNAcentral.
UGAACGAACGCUGGCGGCGUGCCUAAACACAUGCAAGUCGAGCGGUAAGGCCCCUUCGGGGGUACACGAGCGGCGAACGGGUGAGUAACACGUGAGCAAUCUGCCCUUCACUUUGGGAUAACUCUGGGAAACGAGAGCUAAUACCGAAUACGACCACUUCAGGCAUCUGAUGGUGGUGGAAAGUUCCGGCGGUGAAGGAUGAGCUCGCGGCCUAUCAGCUAGUUGGUGGAGUAACGGCCCACCAAGGCUUCGACGGGUAGCCGGCCUGAGAGGGUGACCGGCCACACUGGGACUGAGACACGGCCCAGACUCCUACGGGAGGCAGCAGUGGGGAAUAUUGGACAAUGGGCGAAAGCCUGAUCCAGCAACGCCGCGUGAGGGAUGACGGCCUUCGGGUUGUAAACCUCUUUCAGUAGGGACGAAGCGCAAGUGACGGUACCUACAGAAGAAGCACCGGCCAACUACGUG